UAAACUAGGAUUAGAUACCCUAUUAUUGGAAAUGUAAAUUAGAUGCCUGAGUAGUAGUAGUUAUGUUCUUGAAAUUUAAAGAAUCUGGCGGUAUUCUAGUCCAUUCAGAGGAACCUGCCCUGUAAUUGAUGGUCCACGAUUAAUUGUACUUGUCAAGUAGUUUGUAUAUCGUCGUGGUAGGAAUGUUCUAAGAGGGGGUUGAAUAUUCAGAAUUUACAAUAUAAAUGAAUUCAGAUCAAGAUACAGCGUAUGGAUAAGAAGAGGUGGGUUACAAUGAAUAUAUUUAUAUGGAUGGGGAAUUUAACAGUCUCUUGAAAUUGGAUUUGAUAGUAAUUUGGUUAAGUUAAAUCUUAUGAUUUUGGCUCUAGAAUAUGCACAUAUCGCCCGUCGCUCCUUCAUUAAGGAAGGAUAAGUCGUAACAUAGUAGGUGUACUGGAAAGUGUACCUAGAACGGCAAAUUAGAGCUUGUUAGAAAGCAUUUUAUUUACAUUAAAAAGUAAGUUGUGAGAAUCAAUUUAAUUUGAGAUAAUAGACGUAUUAGAUUUUAUUAACAAAAGUGUUUUUAAUAUAAGUAUAUUUUUGAAUUUAGUUGGUUUAUGAUAGUGAAUAGUAUAGUGAUAGGGCUAUUAAAUAGAGGAUUUAUUAUGGGAAAGAAGGAUUAGUUUUCUGUACCUUGGGUAUCAGGGUUUAUUAAAAUAAUUUGGUUAUUUGAUUUUCUCGAAUUGUGAAGAUCUAUAAUUUUAUGAAUCUAACUGUGGCAUAAGUUUUUAACAUAAGAUUAUGGUGAUGAAAUUUUAUUCGUUUUACAAGAUAUCUAGUUUCUUAAGAAAUGAAUUUAAUUCAGGACCCCUAAUCAAUAUAAUUAUUUAUUAUUAACUUGUUACGGGGAUCUAAUAUCUUGAGGGAUAAGCUUUAGGAUAAACUGUUAUAAUUUAUGUUCUUGAAUUAAGAGUUGGUAGGAUUGGAAAUGUCUAUCUUUAAUUUGUUAUAAUUAACUUUUGGUCGAAUAGGAUUUUUAUAUAUGUUUAGGUUUUUUUAUUAAGACUAUGAAUUGAAUCUAGUAUUUUAUGAGAUAAUGAUAGAAUUAGUAUAGUGGGAUGUUUAAUAAAGUCAAAGAUCUAGGUUAAUUUAAGGAACUCGGCAAAUACUUUUUUCGCCUGUUUAUUAAAAACAUGUCCUUUUGAUUAUAAUUUAAGGUCUAGCCUGCCCAAUGAGGAGUUAAAUGGCCGCGGUAAUUUGACCGUGCAAAGGUAGCAUAAUCAUUAGUUUUUUAAUUGGAAGCUGGUAUGAAUGGCUGGACGAGAAAGAGACUGUCUCAAUUUAAUUGAUGAUAGAAUUUUAUUUUUAAGUAAAAAAGCUUAUAUGACUUUAAAAGACGAGAAGACCCUAUAGAAUUUAAUAUUUGGGUUUAUGUUUUAUGUUUGGUAAGUUUAAUUAAGCAUUAAUUUAAAUAUUUCGUUGGGGUGAUGGGAAAACUAAUAUAACUUUUCUUGUGUAAAAGCAUUAAUUUAUGCCUGUAUGAUCCGUUUUUUACGAUUAUAAGAUAAAAUUACCUUAGGGAUAACAGCGUAAUUUUUCUUUAGAGUUCUUAUCGAAAGAAAAGUUUGCGACCUCGAUGUUGGAUUAAAAUUAACUUUUGGUGCAGGUGCUAAAAGGUUAGGUCUGUUCGACCUUUAAAAUUUUACAUGAUCUGAGUUCAAACCGGAGA
RNAcentral lists this ribosomal RNA (1708 nucleotides) under Eophileurus sp. NLG-2014. RNAcentral's name for it is "partial 16S ribosomal RNA". The stretch from base 1 to 456 matches the Rfam family "Microsporidia small subunit ribosomal RNA", at positions 651 to 1311 of the family's 1311-position model. Lineage: Eukaryota; Metazoa; Arthropoda; Insecta; Coleoptera; Scarabaeidae. The record is from RNAcentral.